CCUACGGGAGGCAGCAGUGGGGAAUAUUGCACAAUGGGGGAAACCCUGAUGCCGCGACGCCGCGUGCGCGAUGAAGUAUUUCGGUAUUUAAAGCUCUAUCAGCAGGGAAGAAAAUUACGGUACCUGACUAAGAAUCCCCGGCUAACUACGUGCCAGCAGCCGCCGUAAGACGUAGGGGGCAAGCGUUAUCCGGAUUUACUGGGUGUAAAGGGAGCGUAGACGGUCCUGCAAGCCAGAUGUGAAAGCCCGGGGCUCAACCCCGGGACUGCAUUUGGAACUGUAAGGCUAGAGUGUCGGAGAGGCAGGCGGAAUUCCUAGUGUAGCGGUGAAAUGCGUAGAUAUUAGGAGGAACACCAGUGGCGAAGGCGGCAUGCUGGACGAUGACUGACGUUGAGGCUCGAAAGCGUGGGGAGCAAACAGGAUUAGAUACCCUUGUAGUC
Molecule: ribosomal RNA, 440 nt
Filed under: uncultured bacterium
Lineage: Bacteria
Description: partial 16S ribosomal RNA
Rfam family: Bacterial small subunit ribosomal RNA
Source: RNAcentral